Non-coding RNA from Triticum aestivum (bread wheat), 134 nucleotides. NCBI's taxonomy places the organism in Eukaryota, Viridiplantae, Streptophyta, Magnoliopsida, Poales, Poaceae. The record is from Rfam.
GUACUACUCCCUCCGUUCCAAAUUACUUGUCUUAGAUUUGUCUAGAUACGGAUGUAUCUAGCAAUAAAUGAGUCUAGAUACAUAUGUAUCUAGACAAAUUCAAGACAAGUAAUUCGGAACGGAGAUAGUACUAU